GUAGUUAGCCGGGGCUUCCUCCUUGGCUACCGUCACUUUCUUCGUCACCAAGGACAGAGGUUUACAACCCGAAAGCCUUCUUCCCUCACGCGGCGUUGCUGGGUCAGGCUUGCGCCCAUUGCCCAAUAUUCCCCACUGCUGCCUCCCGUAGGAGUCUGGACCGUGUCUCAGUUCCAGUGUGGCCGAUCAGCCUCUCAGCUCGGCUACCCAUCGCGGACUUGGUGGGCCGUUACCCCGCCAACUAUCUAAUGGGACGCGAGCCCCUCCUUCUGCGGAUUGCUCCUUUGACCUCUCUCCGAUGCCGGAAUGUGGUCUUAUGCGGUAUUAGCACCCGUUUCCGUGUGUUAUCCCCCUCAAAAGGACAGGUUGCUCACGCGUUACUCACCCGUUCGCCACUAGGCAAAAACCGUAAAUUCUUGCCCCGUUCGACUUGCAUGUGUUAGGCACGCCGCCAGCGUUCGUCCUGAGCCAUAAUCAAACUACUGA
This 486-nucleotide ribosomal RNA is filed under the name uncultured bacterium. RNAcentral describes it as "partial 16S ribosomal RNA". The record is from RNAcentral.